This 1556-nucleotide ribosomal RNA is filed under the name Listeria monocytogenes. RNAcentral's name for it is "partial 23S ribosomal RNA". It matches the Rfam family "Bacterial large subunit ribosomal RNA", at positions 1 to 1549 of the family's 2925-position model. RNAcentral also lists the same sequence under 1 other name. Lineage: Bacteria; Bacillati; Bacillota; Bacilli; Caryophanales; Listeriaceae. The record is from RNAcentral.
UUGGUUAAGUUAGAAAGGGCGCACGGUGGAUGCCUUGGCACUAGGAGCCGAAGAAGGACGGGACUAACACCGAUAUGCUUUGGGGAGCUGUACGUAAGCGUUGAUCCAGAGAUUUCCGAAUGGGGGAACCCACUAUCUUUAGUCGGAUAGUAUCCUUACGUGAAUACAUAGCGUGAGGAAGGCAGACCCAGGGAACUGAAACAUCUAAGUACCUGGAGGAAGAGAAAGAAAAAUCGAUUUCCUGAGUAGCGGCGAGCGAAACGGAAAGAGCCCAAACCAAGAAGCUUGCUUCUUGGGGUUGUAGGACACUCUAUACGGAGUUACAAAAGAAAGUUAUAAAUGAAGCGGUCUGGAAAGGCCCGCCAAAGACGGUAACAGCCCGGUAGUUGAAAUGGCUUUCCCUCCAGAGUGGAUCCUGAGUACGGCGGAACACGUGAAAUUCCGUCGGAAUCCGGGAGGACCAUCUCCCAAGGCUAAAUACUCCCUAGUGACCGAUAGUGAACCAGUACCGUGAGGGAAAGGUGAAAAGCACCCCGGAAGGGGAGUGAAACAGUUCCUGAAACCGUGUGCCUACAAGUAGUUAGAGCCCGUUAAUGGGUGAUAGCGUGCCUUUUGUAGAAUGAACCGGCGAGUUACGAUUUGUUGCAAGGUUAAGCGGAAAAAGCGGAGCCGUAGCGAAAGCGAGUCUGAAUAGGGCGCAUAAGUAACAGGUCGUAGACCCGAAACCAGGUGAUCUACCCAUGUCCAGGAUGAAGGUAAGGUAAUACUUACUGGAGGUCCGAACCCACGCACGUUGAAAAGUGCGGGGAUGAGGUGUGGGUAGCGGAGAAAUUCCAAUCGAACUUGGAGAUAGCUGGUUCUCUCCGAAAUAGCUUUAGGGCUAGCCUCGAGGUAAAGAGUCAUGGAGGUAGAGCACUGUUUGGACUAGGGGCCCUUCUCGGGUUACCGAAUUCAGAUAAACUCCGAAUGCCAUGUACUUAUACUCGGGAGUCAGACUGCGAGUGAUAAGAUCCGUAGUCGAAAGGGAAACAGCCCAGACCACCAGUUAAGGUCCCCAAAUAUAUGUUAAGUGGAAAAGGAUGUGGGGUUGCUUAGACAACCAGGAUGUUGGCUUAGAAGCAGCCACCAUUGAAAGAGUGCGUAAUAGCUCACUGGUCGAGUGACCCCGCGCCGAAAAUGUACCGGGGCUAAACAUAUUACCGAAACUGUGGAUGAACCUCUUUAGAGGUUCGUGGUAGGAGAGCGUUCUAAGGGCGGUGAAGUCAGACCGGAAGGACUGGUGGAGCGCUUAGAAGUGAGAAUGCCGGUAUGAGUAGCGAAAGAAGGGUGAGAAUCCCUUCCACCGAAUAUCUAAGGUUUCCUGAGGAAGGCUCGUCCGCUCAGGGUUAGUCGGGACCUAAGCCGAGGCCGAUAGGCGUAGGCGAUGGACAACAGGUAGAGAUUCCUGUACCAGUGCUAAUUGUUUAACCGAUGGGGUGACACAGAAGGAUAGGGAAUCGCACGAAUGGAAAUGUGCGUCCAAGCAGUGAGUGUGAGAAGUAGGCAAAUCCGCUUCU